CAGAGAUCAUGCCCUCACGGGUAGACCUCCCACCCUGUGUUAUAUACUCUUGUUGCUUUGGCAGGCCGCCUUCGGGCUCCCGGCUUCGGCUGGGGUGCGCCUGCCAGAGGACCCCAACUCUUUUGUUUAUAUGUCUUUUUACAAACAUGGUGUAAUGAACGUCAUAUAUCAUAACAAAACA
Molecule: unclassified non-coding RNA, 181 nt
Filed under: uncultured Ascomycota
Lineage: Eukaryota; Fungi; Ascomycota
Description: sequence contains ITS1
Source: RNAcentral